AUGGAAACUCCUGCCAGGCAAAGAGAAAUAAAGAAGUCACUAACGAAGUCCAGGAGCCCAGCGUGUUUGAUCUGCUGCUGUUCUGGGAAGAGGCGGGAGUGGCUCUGGCCCAGGGAACAGUGCGUCCCCCUGAUGCGGGCCAGCCAGGGGAUGGGCUGGGAGAGGACCAACGCGGUGGCCGGUCCCUGCUUGUGCCCGCUGUCCACACCAUCUCUCGUGGCCUUCCUCUCGUCACCGUGUAUGGGUCAGGGCGCCACUGGCCAAGGCCGUGGACCUGGAUCUGUGGGCUGCUGGAGCCCAGUAGCAUCUCCUGCCAGUGGCCCAGCCUCACCCCUGCCAGAGCCGGAGGAGCUGCCCAGAAACCCGAGGGCAGCCGUCACCCUCGUGGGGGAUGGAAGCCGGACAAGCCCCCUCCCAGCUUCAGAGCGUUAUUCGUAGUAGAAGGAAACACAUGUGCCCGACAAGUGUGAAUCAUGCCGUGAUCAUGCACCCUUUCUCCAGAAGGUGAGGGAAUCAGAUUUACGAAGAGUUUUCGAAGACAGUGGGUGAGGUGGGGUGGGGUGGGGAUGCGUGAGCAAUCAGAUAGGAUUUUAAAAGCCCCCACUAAGAUUCAAAGUGUCCCGGGGAGAUGCAGUCCCCAGGUGUUAUCGGGGAUGAUCUUUGCAGCCCUAUAGUCUGGAAGGUUUCUGCGCCUCCUGGCUUUCCAAAUUAGCAUUUCCUAGUGCCCGGUGACGAGGGCGAGUGGGAACCACUUGGGGGGGGGGGGGAGGAGGCUGAAGCGCCUCCCUCCGUGGACCAAGGGCCACCACACGUCAGAUGAGAAAAACCAGGUCUUGCAUCACAUCCCAAAUCAGCAGGAAGCAAGUUCCGCGUGCCGCAGCCUCUGGCCCAAGCCCUGUGCUGAGGACAGGAGUCUCGACCCGCAGCUCACAUUUGGAACUGAUCUCCUGAAAAAAAAAAAAAAAAUAAGAAAUGAUCUGUUCGCGCUCGGGAUCCACUUCCCAAGCAGGUGCCUGAGACUCUCCCUUCCCUGCUCCCGACUCUGCCCUCCGGCUGCUCCGGCCACAUCUCCGGCCUCCCUAGCUUUGGUCUGGCUGUCGGCCUGGCUCACAGAUCCCGCUGCCGACGCUUAGGGGCUGGGGGUGGUGAGGGGAGGUGGACGGAUUGCAGAAAAUUACAUCGUAAUCCUUGUUGCUUUUUUGCCUUCAGACCCUGGUCACACUGAGCCUUAAAAGGAAGCACGGCGAUCCCUUCAAAGCCGAGCCCUAGAGCGCAAACCUUCUGGGUCCUCCUCUCGGCUCAGAUGCUAAGACCUUAAUCUCCAGGCCUCGGAUUUGGCCUGGUGGCCGGGCUCCCCAGUCCUCGGGCGAUGCGUGUUUCUGGCACCUGCGUGUGCGCGGGUCACCAUCCAGUUUCAGAUGAGAAAGCACCUCCUGUGGGAAGCCCUCCCGUCUCCUGAUGCCAGAUGCUGCCCCGUGGUGGCUUCGGCUACGGUUCUUACGUCGGUGGGAAGGGAGCACACCGAAGCUGUCCAGUGCCACAAGCCCACGGGGUUUGCUGCUUGCUGUAUCUUCAGUGAAGGUUGUGUGCCAUGCACACCGUAGGUGCUCAAGGAACCUCUGCAGGAUGAGCCCUGGGAGCCCCUGAAAAUGGGCAUUCCCUCCACUGUUGGCUCCAGGGGGACACACCCAGGAGGAUGCUGGCACCUGCAGGGUUCCUCUCGGAGGAUCCUUGGUUUUUGCAGAUGAAUGAGUGGGAGGCAUCUUGGCUCUUGACAGAGCCACCAGCCUGUGGGGCCUCAGUUAGCCUUUCUGUGAAAUGGGCGUCAUGAACGCAGCCUUUCCUACUGAAUUCUUAGGUUUUCCUCCUGGGUGUCUCCUUCAAUCACGAAUGGUUUUUAACAUUCACACUGCUUCUGACACCAGAUGUGUGGGUUCUCCCCCCACAUCCCACAAUUCUGUGACACCAGCUGGACGUCCUACAAUUCAACCUCAGUUCUGACACUGGCUGGGGGCAGCAUCAGAUCCCACAGGUUCAGGGCCCAGUCCCAUAAGACCUCCCUCCACCUCGGGUGCCAACGGCAAGUGGUAGGUGCAGAGGUUGCCCACGACUUCUUCUGACUUGGCUACAAACCAGAAGUUGCCAGGACCUUGUCCGCCUUGGAUUUGAUUCUUUACUAGAACAGCGCAGAGAACUCAGGGAAACACUUCUGUUUGCUGUAUUAAAGGCUCUGAUAAGGAUCCAGAUGAACAGCCAGGUGAAGAGGUAUAUGGGGUGAGGUCAGGGAGGGUCCCCGACACAGGAGCUUCUGUCCCUGUGGAGUUGGGGCGCACACCCUCCUGGUACAUGGAUGUGGUCACCAAUCCAGAAGCUCUCCCAACCCCUGACCAUGGGGGUUUUAUGGAGGCUUCGUCAUGUAUGUGCAAUCGAUCCUUAACUCCAUUCCCAGACCUCAGCCCCUCUCUGGAGGGCGGGGGGUGGGGCUGGAAAUUCCAGAUUUGUUCUUUCUGUGACCAGCCCCACGCAGGAGUCCACCCAGAACAAGAGAUGCUCCUGGUGCUCUUGCCCCUCGGGAAUUUAGAAGGGCUUCAGGAGCUCUGUGCCAGGAACCAGGGGCAGAGACCACUGCACAGGUCCUAGGAUCUCAUGUCUACCUCAGGAGGUGGUGGUGAGGUCUACCCUGAGAGUGGGGUGGGCGGGGGCGCGGCUGUGGUUGAACCAGCCAGUGGUUCAACUGGACGGUGGGGGUGUGUAUGUGAGCGCGCACGUACACUCGUGCAGAGAGCGUGGUGCACGCUGUGAGCCAGCUAAGCCCAGGCUGCGGUGGGCUGUCUUCUCUCCUCCUGAGUCCUUGUGUGCCCCUGCCUUAGCAGACAGGCCAGGCCUGGGCCCUCCGUCCACUCCCUCCCCAGGUCAGCACACUUGGCACCACUUGGCUUAGAGCAGGGAUGGCCUGUCUGCCUUGAGGGUACUCCCCCCGGUCCCCUUCUCACUGCCUGUCCCCCGAGUGAGGGGCUCUUGGCUGGGUUGUGAAAUCCAGGGCAAAGAGUGGUGCUGACACUUACCCACCUUCACUGAGCUCUUUUGGCCUGACCAUCCCCUCCCACUACCCUUGUGCAGUCUGGAGCCAUUGGAUCGAGAAGGA
This 3145-nucleotide long non-coding RNA is filed under the name Canis lupus familiaris (dog). RNAcentral's name for it is "lncRNA (ENSCAFG00845012224.1)". Lineage: Eukaryota; Metazoa; Chordata; Mammalia; Carnivora; Canidae. The record is from RNAcentral.